This 339-nucleotide unclassified non-coding RNA is filed under the name soil metagenome. RNAcentral describes it as "partial contains 5.8S ribosomal RNA, internal transcribed spacer 2, and large subunit ribosomal RNA". The stretch from base 1 to 120 matches the Rfam family "5.8S ribosomal RNA", at positions 35 to 154 of the family's 154-position model. The record is from RNAcentral.
GAUGAGGAACGUAGCGAAAUGCGAUACGUAGUGUGAAUUGCAGAAUUCAGUGAAUCAUCGAAUCUUUGAACGCACAUUGCACCUCUCGGUAUUCCGGGAGGUAUGCCUGUUCGAGCGUCAUUUGUACCCUCAAGCUCUGCUUGGUGUUGGGUGUUUGUUCCGCCUCUGUGUGUGAACUCGCCUCAAAACAAUUGGCAGCCGGCGUACUUGUUUCGGAGCGCAGCACAUUUUGCGAUCCAGAUCAACGUACAGCGGCAUCCAAGAAGCCUUAUUUAACGCUCUUGACCUCGGAUCAGGUAGGGAUACCCGCUGAACUUAAGCAUAUCAAUAAGCGGAGGA